GGGCCCAUUUCCCCGGAGUUGAGACGAGGACGAGGGCUGCUUGCGAGGCCGCGUCGCCCGGGGCCUGCGGCUCAGACUCCUCGGGGCGCCGCGCUGCCGGCAGUCGUCACCCGGGCAGCUGCGGCGGGCCGCCCCGAUAUCGGGCCCCUCCUCCGCGCGCCCGCCGGCCUCGGCCGCCGCCUCCGCAGCGCCACCGCCCGCUCGGCCGCUCUGCGCGCCGAGCCCGGGCGGCCCCGCUCGGGUAGGGCCGCGGCGCCUCCGCGAAGCCCCUCCCCAGGGUCCGCCUGCAGCCGCGCCCUUGACGCUCGCAGCCCGCCAGGCGGCCCGCGCGGAUCCAACCCUGAGCUCUCACGCCAUCCCCUCCAAGAGGAACGGCUUCCGUCAGCCCUCCUCUGCAGUUCUGAACCUGACUCCGGGCCCAAAAAUACACAUUUAAGGGACAAUCCUAAUACCCAAAGGGGUUCAGAUGCGGAAGCAGGAUUCCACAGGCCUUUCCAGGAGACUUGUCACACCACGUCAAAGAAUGAGGGACGGACUCUCUUGGAAGUUUUCCAAGUGCACCACCACAGUGGUUGAGAAGCUGCCCACCUCUACGUUGAUAAUUCUCCAUCGAGUUAGUUCCACACCCAAGCUAGUUUCUUCGCUCCUGGAAACUAGGAAAUCGACAGAAUGGUCCAUUUCCACCCACGUAACCAUAGAACCAUGGAAUUUGAGAUGAAAGAAUCUUACUGAUGCAUAGUCCAAACUCUUAUGCUAAGACAAGGGUUUAGACAAGUUUCGAUGACGUGAGCAAGGUUAAAGAGCAAAGCUUUAGUCUCCACCCCUCUCCCCUCCAUCUAUCUCUCCAGAAAGCAUCUAUCUUCGAAGCAACCCAUCAUUCAGUAAAACUAUUUUGCCACCUGUUUCGUCUGGGUUCUAAACUAAUGUUUAACGUUUCCGCAACGCAAGCACCUCUGUCUCUAUAAUGGAGAUGUCCUUUGCUUUCUUCCUUUACUAGAAGGACUGAACUUGCCGGUGUUAUUUCUCCACACAUAUUUUCCAUUGCAG
RNAcentral lists this long non-coding RNA (1047 nucleotides) under Mus spicilegus (steppe mouse). RNAcentral describes it as "lncRNA (ENSMSIG00000000612.1)". The record is from RNAcentral. Lineage: Eukaryota; Metazoa; Chordata; Mammalia; Rodentia; Muridae.